CUUUGGGUUUAUAUUAUAAUAAUAAAAAAUAAAUAUUGGUGAAUUAUUUAUCUAAUAGUUGUGAAUUAGUUAAUUAAAAUUUAUUAAGUUAGUAGUAAAAAAUUUAAGACAAACUAGGGUUAGAUGCCUACUAUUUUCAUUGUUAAUAAUUUAAAGUAGUAAAAGAAAAAUCUAAAAACUUAAAUAACAUGGCAGUAUUUUACUCAUUGCAGAGGAAUUUGAAUAAUAAGAGAUAAUCCCCUUUAAUUUUUACUUAAAUUUGUUUUAUGUGUGGUUGUUUAAAUAAGUAUAUAAAUAUAAGUUUUAAAUCAGAUUUUAUGUAAAAAUAAUUAAGAAAAUUUUAAUUACAAAUAAUUACUAUAAUAGGAUUUGCAAGUAAUUAUAUAUAAUAUUUUACAGUGAAGAAGUAUUAAAAUAUGUACAUAUUGUCCGUCACUCUCAGAGAU
RNAcentral lists this ribosomal RNA (446 nucleotides) under Aetideopsis multiserrata. RNAcentral describes it as "partial 12S ribosomal RNA". Lineage: Eukaryota; Metazoa; Arthropoda; Copepoda; Calanoida; Aetideidae. The record is from RNAcentral.